AUUGAAGUCUGAAAUUCGACUUCAUGAAGCUGGAAUUGCUAGUAAUGGCAGGUCAGCAUACUGCCGUGAAUACGUUCCCGGGCCUUGUACACACCGCCCGUCACACCAUGGGAGUCGGGAAUGCCCGAAGCCGGUGGCCCAAUCGAAAGAAGGGAGCCGUCGAAGGCAGGCCGGAUGACUGGGGUGAAGUCGUAACAAGGUAGC
Molecule: ribosomal RNA, 204 nt
Filed under: uncultured bacterium
Lineage: Bacteria
Description: partial 16S ribosomal RNA
Rfam family: Bacterial small subunit ribosomal RNA
Source: RNAcentral